GCAGCUCAAUGGCAGAACAUCUGCUUUGCACGUAGAAGGUCCCAGGUUCAGUCUCUGGCAUCUCCA
Podarcis lilfordi (Lilford's wall lizard) is the source of this 66-nucleotide non-coding RNA. NCBI's taxonomy places the organism in Eukaryota, Metazoa, Chordata, Lepidosauria, Squamata, Lacertidae. The record is from the annotation of a GenBank genome assembly.